UAAUCUAGAAGCCACAAAAAUCUGCAAGUAAAAUAACACUGUUAUCAUUUCUUCUCACAAAAUGUGCAAACUUAAAAUGAAGAAGAAAGGAUAAUUUAAAGAAAAACUGUAUGAAUAUUAUAAUUCUUCUUCCUUAUCAAUGAAAUUAUUGAAAACUAUCAGAAAUGCAGGAUACAUGUCAAAAAAGAAGAAAAAAGGGGAAAUAUUUUGAACUAUAGAGGCCUUUCGUUAUAAUCUUUUCAUCAAUGGGAGAACCAUAACUACAAAUAUCUAAAUUGACUGAGAUCAAUGGUUCUACACGAUUUGUAGUAAGCCUACGAUUUCAAGACCUUGGAACAUUUCUAUUAAAAUCCCACUGAAAAAGUUGUAAGAUGUAGUUAAGCAUGCCAUGCCAAUGGUCUAGCAGCCAAUGGUCAUCUGCGUGCCCCAUAGCCCAGGUAGUCGGGGAUUAAAAUUCCUGACUAUCUCAGCCUUAAGAGGGAAAACAAAGAAAAAGAAAAGAAAGAACUAGGGUAACAAGCAAUAUCUUUUUUCCUAUAUAUAAGGGUUUAAACCUUAAAACCUUUAAUCCUAACAAUUCCCCUAUUAAGCAUUAAGAAACAUGACUACAUAUAUAUGAUAAGAUGCCAUGCACGCUAGUUACAUAUCAGAUUGACGAUAGUUUAGUCUUGGGUCUUCAUAGGUUCAAAUCCCACGGAAGAAGGGAUCUGGACUUAAAGGAGGAAGGGAGGGAGAGAGAGAAAAAGAGUUACACUCUCAUCAAUUAAAGCAAAUGGGUAAUAUUACUUCUGAAAAAGAAAAAGGUUAAUAUGUCAACCAUAGUACCAUCUGUGAAUUAUUAUGAGCAUAUACAGUAGAUAAGUAUACAUGACAUACGGUAGCAAUAUCAGCUAAUAUCCAUUCUUUUUCCUAUGUUAAAUGAAGAUUUCUUCAAUAACAAGGCCCAGGAUAUCAAACGACGAAAUGCCCUCCAGCUUGUGGCCAAGAGAGUGAUCCAGUUUACUGGAUACUUGUUCUACAAUAUAAAUUUCGCUACAAAAUCAGCUGCCCGCCUUGCAGUUGAUAUAGUUUAUAUCAUUUAUAGUGAUAUCGAAGACAGUCAAAUCCUCGAUCACUCACACGACAGAUGAUUAGUAUGUGAGAUGAAUGAUAAAGUCAAGACUAUAUCUAUCUCGUAUCAAUAAAUCCCCCAUACUUGCAACAAUCAAAUUUUCGAGAUUCCUUUAUCAGAAAAAUUAACCAAAUAUCUAGAAACUUGAUUUUCUAUCCUUUUAAAUUUCAAUGUUGAUCUUUAAAAAAACCAUAUUAGCAUUAGUUAAGCAGGCUGUCAGCUCUUGAACACCCGUCCAAAUUUCGGAUCUUCCUCCAUAGAAGAUAGGCAAUCACAUUCAACAUAUCAAUGUCCAGUUAUAAUAAUCGCAAAACCAACUCCCUAAAUCACUUGAUCAAAUUAAAAUAAAAUAAAAUAAAA
RNAcentral lists this unclassified non-coding RNA (1471 nucleotides) under Hevea brasiliensis (rubber tree). Lineage: Eukaryota; Viridiplantae; Streptophyta; Magnoliopsida; Malpighiales; Euphorbiaceae. The record is from RNAcentral.